This is a non-coding RNA of Oryza sativa Japonica Group (Japanese rice), 1542 nucleotides long. The record is from RefSeq and is a predicted model, not a curated record. Lineage: Eukaryota; Viridiplantae; Streptophyta; Magnoliopsida; Poales; Poaceae.
UUAGGCCCCAUGUUGUUAGAUGGGCUGCUAAUUACGUCGGCCCAACUAAUCUUACGCUGGCGGCGCUGCAGAAGACAGCGGCGGACACUGACAGGCAGCCGCGGAGAAGUUCGCCGGGGCGGCGACCCUCGGCUGCCGCUCCGGUGGCUGCCGGAUUCGCGGGGAGGCCGAAUUGUCCACGCUGCGCCGCCGAAAACCUCCGGUCAGUUCUCGAUCCAGUACCCCCUCUCCCGAGAGGCCGAGACCCUCCGCCGGCCGCUGCUGGAGGCAGCGAUGGCUUCCAGAACCGCCACCCUGUACGGCGGCGGGAGCGUGCCCUGCAUGCAGCGCGGAGCCCACCGGAUCGAGCCCCCCUGCGCGGUGGCGUUCCUCGAGAUCGCUGCUGGCAGAGGAGGGCGGAGGCGAUGAUGACGACGACGUCCCGGCAGGGGGUAAGGGAGGAGGGGUAGUUGCCUGUCAAAUUUGGUACUGUCGUAAUGUCGUGUACACACUAUUGCAAGAGAGUAUCUGAUGUAGCUGUACAGAAAGGACUGCAUCAGCGAGAUCUUUAAACCGGCAGGUCGGUAUUCUCAUCAAAGGGAAAUGGCGCCAAUUUUGGGUGUGCUGCUUGGUGGCACUCACCAGGUUAGCAUGCAUCCUCUUGACGAAAGUUUUGAAUGUGCUGUAGUUCUGUCCCUCCAGCAGCUCGUCUGAUAAUCGGAGGUAGGUGAAUCCAAAUAGCUUGUGCUCAGGAGGUCCAUUCUUGUUGAUGCCUGUCGGCCUUGAAUUCCUUAGUAUUGUGUUGUAAGCUGUUGCAUCGUAUCGACCGAGUGCGUUUUCGCAUGCCACAUCUGCACUCUGCAUCCCAAGAAGACCUUGUUUGCUUCAUCCAAGAUCUUGUCUCCAUGUUUUAUCAGCUUGUUUGAGUACCAUGUGAGGAAGAACUUCCCCUUCUCAGUGACAUAUGUUCCAUUAUCCGCGAAGAACCGGGUCUUCUCGGGAGUGUCAUUGUACUCUCCAGCAUCGUCGGGCAAUUCCCAUUCAGGAUGCCCAGCCUUUGCUGCUUCUGCUUUGAAAUCUGCCUCCAGGAGAUCUGCAAUUGGACCAUGAUUGUUGUCUUUGGUCAUCAGCCAUCACAUGGAGGAGAAUAUUUUUAUCAACAACUUAUUUAUAAAAUGAGGGCAGCCAUAAGAAUCUUUACUCUGGUAAAGACUAAAGAACACUCACUAUGAAUUCUCCUAUGCCUGGGAACACCCAUCCCUGGCUCUGGGGGUAGGAAGGGUAUCUCAUCUCACCAGCUGGACCAAGCCCCACCUCAAUGUCCACAAUGACACCAGUAUCCAAGAACUCUGCCAUGUUCUCCCUGAAGCUCUUCAUGUAGUCAGCAUACAUCUGUCACAGCCACAGACAAGAGAAGAAUGUGGUGGUGGGGCUUGCUUAUCAGCUAAAACCUGGAUGGCAGUUCUUCCAUGGAAGAGAGGCUGGUCAUCCACUCCAAGGGUGAGGUACUCGAUGUUCCUCGCCCCACCACGGUUGGUGUAGAAGAUGUCGGGGUCGCUCGCG